Long non-coding RNA from Drosophila montana, 402 nucleotides. RefSeq lists it as uncharacterized. The transcript is spliced from 2 exons. NCBI's taxonomy places the organism in Eukaryota, Metazoa, Arthropoda, Insecta, Diptera, Drosophilidae. The record is from RefSeq and is a predicted model, not a curated record.
AAAAACUGCCAUGCGACGCUGUUCAUUAGCCUUAAUUCUAUUGCUAGCUCUUUGGGCCUGUCACCAGGUGGACGCAGGCAGCGACUUCACGGCCAGAGGUGAUGUGCCGAAAAGGAAUUCAUGUCCACUACUGGACAGUAAACUGCCGAGUCAGACAGAGAAGGCUGCGGCUGAAUGGGGUUUGGAACAUUUGAUUAAAUAUCUCUCAUUUGGAAUGAGUCUUUGGCAAUUUUUAGUUAAAAUGUUUUUCAUAUUAAUUAAUAAGGCAACACAUUUUGUCUAGAAUUAUCCUUAACUGCUUGCAAUACUUUAAUCGAAAGUAAAUAUUUUUGUAUAAACUGUCGUUUGACUUUUCUCUGGUUUUGUAUAUGUUAUUCAUAUCAAAUUGCCAAUAUAAAUGUA